This 253-nucleotide ribosomal RNA is filed under the name uncultured bacterium. RNAcentral describes it as "partial 16S ribosomal RNA". It matches the Rfam family "Bacterial small subunit ribosomal RNA", at positions 524 to 776 of the family's 1533-position model. The record is from RNAcentral.
UACAGAGGUCUCAAGCGUUGUUCGGAUUCAUUGGGCGUAAAGGGUGCGUAGGCGGCGCGGUAAGUCGGGUGUGAAAUCUCGGAGCUUAACUCCGAAACUGCAUUCGAUACUGCCGUGCUUGAGGACUGGAGAGGAGACUGGAAUUUACGGUGUAGCGGUGAAAUGCGUAGAUAUCGUAAGGAAGACCAGGGGCGAAGGCGGGUCUCGGGACAGUUCCUGACGCUGAGGCACGAAGGUCAGGGGAGCAAACGGG